RNAcentral lists this ribosomal RNA (427 nucleotides) under uncultured bacterium. Its description in RNAcentral is "bacterial SSU rRNA". It matches the Rfam family "Bacterial small subunit ribosomal RNA", at positions 355 to 774 of the family's 1533-position model. The record is from RNAcentral.
UGGGGAAUUUUGGACAAUGGGCGAAAGCCUGAUCCAGCCAUGCCGCGUGAGUGAAGAAGGCCUUCGGGUUGUAAAGCUCUUUUAGUCGGAAAGAAAGAGUUGCAAUGAAUAAUUGUGAUUUAUGACGGUUCCGACAGAAAAAGCACCGGCUAACUACGUGCCAGCAGCCGCGGUAAUACGUAGGGUGCGAGCGUUAAUCGGAAUUACUGGGCGUAAAGGGUGCGCAGGCGGUCUUGCAAGUCAGAUGUGAAAGCCCCGGGCUUAACCUGGGAAUUGCGUUUGAAACUACAAGGCUAGAGUGCAGCAGAGGGGAGUGGAAUUCCAUGUGUAGCAGUGAAAUGUGUAGAGAUGUGGAAGAACACCGAUGGCGAAGGCAGCUCCCUGGGUUGACACUGACGCUCAUGCACGAAAGCGUGGGGAGCAAACA